Long non-coding RNA from Brassica oleracea var. oleracea, 2124 nucleotides. RefSeq lists it as uncharacterized. The record is from RefSeq and is a predicted model, not a curated record. The transcript has 6 exons. NCBI's taxonomy places the organism in Eukaryota, Viridiplantae, Streptophyta, Magnoliopsida, Brassicales, Brassicaceae.
UCUUCUUCUACGCCUUUCCAAUGUCUCUAUCCAACUUCUGAGCGGUUCAAAGUUUUCUUCCAUGAUCUGCCAUUAAUUUGUCCUAUUAUUGAUUUUUCAAAACAGUAGUAUUAACAUCACGAAACUCUCUCCUUCUUCUACUUUCUCACUCAAUAGACAAUAGUCUAUAUAAGAUGGUUGCAUCCAAUAAUAUAAGUUUUCAAAAAAGUUCUAUUGAGGGCAACCAAAACUCGGCUUCUGUCGAUCUCAGAGAUCCAACCCGAAAAACAAAGCUGCAGAGAGAUUUCAAGCAAAGAUUCACUGAUAUCUUCCUAGCUUGCUCUUCCACCUCUUCUGGUUGAUUUGGAAAGGGAUCCCGCUGGUAUUGAGGCAAAAGGUCUGCCAAGAAAGUCACGCCCGCAACACAGCGAUAGAGAAAUUGGAGUUUGAUUUUAUUCAGAGUCUCAUUUUUUAUUGUUCUUCAGGAAGAUUGAUUUACAAUAUUUGAUUUUCACUUAAUUUUCUAGGUUAUAUUGGUAUUGUUUUUAGCUGGUUCUAAGCUCUGUUUCAUGUUGUAAUUUUAUGUAUUCUCAAAAGCGUUGUGAAAGAAAAAGCGUUAUUUUUUAGCUGCUAGAGCUUCAAGAACAGAGAAUCAAAUAUGGUUGGAAUACUUUCUGAACCUAAAGAACCAACAGUUGGUAUUAGAGAGAUACACUACUUCCAAUUCAAUCCAGUCCACUUAUAUCUAUAGUAAUGGAGACAGGCACCGAGUAAGCAAAAGGAGCUCCAGAAAAGAUUCUUGAUAUGUGCAAGUGCAACACAAGAGCUGAUCUGAGGAACAGAGUCCACUUAGCAAUUGAUAAGUACACUGAGCCUGGACUGAGGUCAUUAGCUGUUGCAAGAUGGCUCUACGUGAGAAAACCAAAAAUAAGCUCUGGUGGUCCAUGUGAAUUCAUUGGUCUGUUACCUUUGUUUGGUCUUCCGAAAUAUGAUAAUGCAUACACCAUUAGAAGAGCUUCAGACUUCGGUGUCAACAUCCAGAUGAUCACUGGUUACUAUCUGUGUAUUUACUUCUCACUUUGGCUUUAAUCUUAUGCUGUAUUGGUUUUCUUAUAGGUGACAAACUUGCUAUUUCCAAAUAGACUCGACGUAUGCUCGGUAUGGGAUGAAACAUGUAUCCAUCAGCAUCAGCUUCUCUACUUAGCAAUCACAAAGACGAAAGCCUAGCUGCUGUUCCUGUUGAACAGUUGAUUGAGACAGUUGAUGGCCAACAUCACAGCACUAUUUCAUAAAGAUAUGUUAACACAGUUGACAAGACCCAGUGCGUAUAAUUUCAUAAAGAUAUGUUAACCACAUGUCUACAAGUACUCUAAGUAUUCAUCCAGCAAAAGCUAGGAGGUCCUUCAGUUUCUGAUUACAAGAAGCUUCAAUCUGAGAAGUCUGAUCUUCAAAUAAAGUACUAUGAGUUUUUUGCUAAACAUCAAGGAACGUUGAGAGAGUUAGAUGGAAGUGAAAAGCUUGCAUUCUCGAAGAAUUCCAUAGCUCCGACCAGAAAUUCAUUAGCCAAGUGAUGAUUAUGUUGUGAGAGAGGAAGUCACAACUCAGGGUUGAAGUCUUCCAGGAGAUCAAAACUCUGCCUCUCUAUGGUGACAUAGUAAAGCUUCAGCUCAUUCUUGCUGAUCUUCUGCGCAACAUUGUGAAUCAUGUCCCGUUUCCAGAUAGUUGGGUAGGAAUCAAGAUCUCAUCAAGCCACAAGCUUGCACACGAAAAUGAUCAUAUAUCCAUCUCCAGUUCAGGAUGAUACAUCCUGGAAAUGAUUUCUUUCAGAGAUACUAAGUGAUAUGUUUGAGACAUGAGAUGGAUGGGUCACGCCUGAUGGCUUAUGACUUAAGCAGAUGAAUGGUAGUGUGAGUUAUGUUAGAGAAGACGAACGUUGUUUCUUUCAAGUGGAUCUUCAAGUUAAGACAAGGUUAGGUGUUGCGACCAUAGGAACAGAGGCUGGUUCAAGCAUACAAUAGAGAUUCUGAGUUACAAAGGCAUAUAUAAAAUUUGACGAUGGAUUUAGAACUAUGGAUUUAACUUUUACUUAUUUUAACGUUAAACCCAUUAUGGCCCAACAAAAUAUUGAACAUAAAUUUUGUUUCU